AUCUCUAGAUUGAAUUACGCGGCGCUCACCCUCAUUCCUAAGGUCAAAGGGGCUGACCUGAUUUCCCAGUUUAUGCCCAUUGCCUUAAUAAAUAAUUUUGCAAAGAUACCGGCUAAGGGUCUGGCAACCAGGCUAUGUCCGAUCGCCCAUCGCGUCAUUAACCCUUUUCAAUCUGCGUUUAUUAAGGGUAGAUUUAUUCUGGAUGGUGUUCUAUGCUUGCAUGAGAUUGUCCACGACUUGAAAACCAAGGGCACUAAGGCAGUGGUACUCAAACUUGGCUUCGAGAAGGCUUACGACUCGGUGAGCUGGAAUUUUCUUCGCCAAGUCCUUCUUGCUAAAGGUUUCGAGGGCGCGGUGGUUCACCAUCUUAUGCAGCUGGUCUCGGGAGGCCACACCGCUUUGGCGGUUAAUGGGCAGAUUAGUAAUUUCUGUGCCAAUGGUAGGGGCCUUAGACAAGGAGACCCAGCUUCCCCCUUCUCUUUAAUUUUGUUGCGGGUGCUCUCUCUCAUAUCCUUUCUCGAGCAGCUCUCGCUAGUCACAUUACGCCUGUUAAUUCUCACUUGA
RNAcentral lists this ribosomal RNA (564 nucleotides) under Triticum aestivum (bread wheat). Its description in RNAcentral is "partial small subunit ribosomal RNA". The record is from RNAcentral. Lineage: Eukaryota; Viridiplantae; Streptophyta; Magnoliopsida; Poales; Poaceae.